CUCAAACAAAAGAAAAGGACAGAUAAAAGCACGACAAUGGAAAAAAGGAAAACAAGAAUCCCCCCAAAACGUUUGUUUUUCUGGUCCACAACCUUUUUUUU
Molecule: non-coding RNA, 101 nt
Filed under: Palpitomonas bilix
Lineage: Eukaryota
Source: RNAcentral